This 426-nucleotide ribosomal RNA is filed under the name uncultured bacterium. Its description in RNAcentral is "bacterial SSU rRNA". It matches the Rfam family "Bacterial small subunit ribosomal RNA", at positions 29 to 486 of the family's 1533-position model. The record is from RNAcentral.
AACGAACGCUGGCGGCAUGCCUAACACAUGCAAGUCGAACGGGAUCCAGGCUUCGGCCUGGUGAGAGUGGCGGACGGGUGAGUAACACGUGGGAACCUGCCUUUUGGUUCGGGAUAACCGCGGGAAACUGCGGCUAAUACCGGAUGCUCCCGAGAGGGGAAAGAUUUAUCGCCAGAAGAGGGGCCCGCGUCCGAUUAGGUAGUUGGUGAGGUAAUGGCUCACCAAGCCGACGAUCGGUAGCUGGUCUGAGAGGAUGAUCAGCCACACUGGGACUGAGAUACGGCCCAGACUCCUACGGGAGGCAGCAGUGGGGAAUAUUGGACAAUGGGGCGAACCCUCGAUCCAGCAAUGCCGCGUGAGUGAUGAAGGCCUUAGGUUGUAAAGACUCUUUUGUCCAGGGAAGGAAUGAUGACUGUACCUGGAGAA